CCUACGGGUGGCAGCAGUGAGGAAUAUUGGUCAAUGGACGAGAGUCUGAACCAGCCAAGUAGCGUGAAGGAUGACUGCCCUAUGGGUUGUAAACUUCUUUUAUAUGGGAAUAAAAUGUUCCACGUGUGGGAUUUUGUAUGUACCAUAUGAAUAAGGAUCGGCUAACUCCGUUCCAGCAGCCGCGGUAAUACGGAGGAUCCGAGCGUUAUCCGGAUUUAUUGGGUUUAAAGGGAGCGUAGGUGGAUUGUUAAGUCAGUUGUGAAAGUUUGCGGCUCAACCGUAAAAUUGCAGUUGAAACUGGCAGUCUGGAGUACAGUAGAGGUGGGCGGAAUUCGUGGGGUAGCGGUGAAAUGCUUAGAUAUCACGAAGAACUCCGAUUGCGAAGGCAGCUCACUGGACUGCAACUGACACUGAGGCUCGAAAGUGUGGGUAUCAAACAGGAUUAGAUACCCGAGUAGUC
This 460-nucleotide ribosomal RNA is filed under the name uncultured bacterium. Its description in RNAcentral is "partial 16S ribosomal RNA". It matches the Rfam family "Bacterial small subunit ribosomal RNA", at positions 338 to 795 of the family's 1533-position model. The record is from RNAcentral.